AGAGUUUGAUCCUGGCUCAGAGCGAACGCUGGCGGCAGGCCUAACACAUGCAAGUCGAGCGCCGUAGCAAUACGGAGCGGCAGACGGGAGAGUAACACGUGGGAACGUACCCUUUGGUUCGGAACAACCCAGGGAAACUUGGGCUAAUACCGGAUAAGCCCUCACGGGGAAAGAUUCAUCGCCGAAGGAUCGGCCCGCGUCUGAUUAGCUAGUUGGUGGGGUAAUGGCCCACCAAGGCGACGAUCAGUAGCUGGUCUGAGAGGAUGAUCAGCCUCACUGGGACUGAGACACGGCCCAGACUCCUACGGGAGGCAGCAGUGGGGAAUAUUGGACAAUGGGCGCAAGCCUGAUCCAGCCAUGCCGCGUGGGUGAUGAAGGCCCUAGGGUUGUAAAGCCCUUUCGGCGGGGAAGAUAAUGACGGUACCCGCAGAAGAAGCCCCGGCUAACUUCGUGCCAGCAGCCGCGGUAAUACGAAGGGGGCUAGCGUUGCUCGGAAUCACUGGGCGUAAAGCGCACGUAGGCGGAUUGUUAAGUCAGGGGUGAAAUCCUGGAGCUCAACUCCAGAACUGCCUUUGAUACUGGCGAUCUUGAGUCC
This 595-nucleotide ribosomal RNA is filed under the name uncultured bacterium. Its description in RNAcentral is "bacterial SSU rRNA". It matches the Rfam family "Bacterial small subunit ribosomal RNA", at positions 8 to 649 of the family's 1533-position model. The record is from RNAcentral.